Sander lucioperca (pikeperch) is the source of this 386-nucleotide long non-coding RNA. RefSeq lists it as uncharacterized. Lineage: Eukaryota; Metazoa; Chordata; Actinopteri; Perciformes; Percidae. The transcript has 3 exons. The record is from RefSeq and is a predicted model, not a curated record.
AGAAGGAGUGGACUAUGGAUUGGAUGGUUUCAUACCUCUUUGAAGGAUCGUUUAAGAAGCAAGCCAAAUUCAACCGAUUUGUACAGCAGUGGAAAGAAACCGUGACACUAACCGUUGAGCCUGUCCCGGUACAUUCAGAGAAGGCUACAGUGGAAUCAAGAAUGAAUAUCUGCCGAAGAUUUUAAGAUGGCUUUAAGAUCCUAGUACUCACAGUGCUUAGACUGACAAAGGAAAUCUCCCCUUGCAGAUCUGGCUUUGGAGGAAAGAGAGGCUGCCCUCACCGAAGAUGUCCCUGGGAUUGAUUUCAGAGCUGCAAUCCUGCUAUUGCCGAUCCUGUUCAGGGAGAAAAAUGACAUUCUCAUCAUACUUGGAGAGGUGUGUAAUUU